GUGAAUCAAAGGGGGGGGGGCAGGGCAGAGCUAGGAAGGCAAAAUGAUUGUUACCAGGCAGAGUUAGGAGUGAUGUCAGCUUUGGGAAAAGUACCUGCGAAAGGAGAGAGACUUCCUGAAUAGAUGCCACUGAAGAAGACUUGUCUCAAGUCGAAACACGUCUGGCAAAUUAGUUGCUGAUCUGCAUCCUGAAAAUAUAUCCAAAGUUCUGCCUUCAUUUGUUUCAUUUCCUCCCAGCCCUGAGCAAGAUGCUUUGACAACAAUUUCAAUAACACAGGUUUGUUCAGACUACAGUUUAUAAAUGGCCUGGAUUUGCAUUAUUUGACUCUCGUAAAAAAUCUGAAUGUAGGAAUUGGCUUUCCAUUUACAGCUGGUAGAGGCCAUUGCUGCACAGUUUUUGUGGAACUGUUAUUUAUCAUUGAUAAAGAUUCUACAUACUAUAAGGAAAAUUCCUACUAGAAAACUUUAAUAUGGAAACAUUUUUCAAAACAUUUUUAAAGAAUUGACUUCAAACACUUUAUAUAUGCAUGUGCAGAAAUGAAUGUAUUUCUAUUAUAUAGCUGUUCUGUCAUGGGACAGAAUUUUAACAAUAAAAUUGAAAAGUGAAUGUGUUAGUAAGGACUCUUGCUCCUUAUGCACAACUGCAGUUUCAUUGCA
This is a long non-coding RNA of Rhineura floridana, 657 nucleotides long. RefSeq lists it as uncharacterized. The record is from RefSeq and is a predicted model, not a curated record. The transcript has 4 exons. NCBI's taxonomy places the organism in Eukaryota, Metazoa, Chordata, Lepidosauria, Squamata, Rhineuridae.